CGUUUGGCAGGCGCAGUCGGCUGUGUGUGUCAGCGGCCCGGUACCUGCGGGUAGGGCAGAGUUUUGGUCAGGAUGGUAGUCCGAGCGUGGACCCUGGAGCGUGGAAAGCCACGUGUUGGAUCGUGAGAUCGAGGACACACUGGGUGUGUAGUUACCCAACCCGAGGAUUGUAAGCAUUGAACCUUUCGGCGCGUGUGGAUGAUCGGUUGAUCGGGUGUGUCGUUUCGAACGCCCUACCCCGUGAGAUGGUUCUGUGUGCCAACAAAUAGAUUGGCCUUCCUUGGUGUGGA
This 290-nucleotide long non-coding RNA is filed under the name Ananas comosus (pineapple). Its description in RNAcentral is "long non-coding RNA (ACOM_LNC040855)". The record is from RNAcentral. Lineage: Eukaryota; Viridiplantae; Streptophyta; Magnoliopsida; Poales; Bromeliaceae.